CCUACACCCUACUAGCCUACACCUUGGUGGCAGCCUGUGUUCUAGUACUCAGGUUAGUACCCUACACCCUACACCCUACUAGCCUACACCUUGGUGGCAGCCUGUGUUCUAGUACUCAGGUUAGUACCCUACAUACUACACCCUACUAGCCUACACCUUGGUGGCAGCCUGUGUUCUAGUACUCAGGUUAGUACCCUACACCCUACACCUUGGUGGCAGCCUGUGUUCUAGUACUCAGGUUAGUACCCUACAUACUACACCCUACUAGCCUACACCUUGGUGGCAGCCUGUGUUCUAGUACUCAGGUAAGUACCCUACAUACUACACCCUACACCCUACUAGCCUACACCUUGGUGGCAGCCUGUGUUCUAGUACUCAGGUUAGUACCCUACAUACUAC
Molecule: long non-coding RNA, 399 nt
Filed under: Salmo salar (Atlantic salmon)
Lineage: Eukaryota; Metazoa; Chordata; Actinopteri; Salmoniformes; Salmonidae
Description: lncRNA (ENSSSAG00000089891.1)
Source: RNAcentral